RNAcentral lists this ribosomal RNA (471 nucleotides) under uncultured bacterium. RNAcentral describes it as "bacterial SSU rRNA". It matches the Rfam family "Bacterial small subunit ribosomal RNA", at positions 329 to 793 of the family's 1533-position model. The record is from RNAcentral.
CUACCGACUCCUACGGGAGGCAGCAGUGGGGAAUAUUGCACAAUGGGCGCAAGCCUGAUGCAGCCAUGCCGCGUGUAUGAAGAAGGCCUUCGGGUUGUAAAGUACUUUCAGCAGUGAGGAAGGUGGGUAUGUUAAUAGCAUACUCAUUUGACGUUAGCUGCAGAAGAAGCACCGGCUAACUCCGUGCCAGCAGCCGCGGUAAUACGGAGGGUGCGAGCGUUAAUCGGAAUUACUGGGCGUAAAGCGCAUGCAGGUGGUUGUUAAGUCAGAUGUGAAAGCCCGGGGCUCAACCUCGGAAUUGCAUUUGAAACUGGCAAACUAGAGUACUGUAGAGGGGGUAGAAUUUCAGGUGUAGCGGUGAAAUGCGUAGAGAUCUGAAGGAAUACCGGUGGCGAAGGCGGCCCCCUGGACAGAUACUGACACUCAGAUGCGAAAGCGUGGGGACGCAAACAGGAUUAGAUACCCUGGUAG